Molecule: ribosomal RNA, 447 nt
Filed under: uncultured bacterium
Lineage: Bacteria
Description: SSU rRNA
Rfam family: Bacterial small subunit ribosomal RNA
Source: RNAcentral
AGAGCGAACGCUGGCGGCAGGCCUAACACAUGCAAGUCGAGCGCCCGUAGCAAUACGGGAGCGGCAGACGGGAUAGUAACACGUGGGAACGCGCCCUUCGGUUCGGAAUAACUCAGGGAAACUUGAGCUAAUACCGAAUACGCCCUUACGGGGAAAGAUUUAUUGCCGAAGGAACGGCCCGCGUCCGAUUAGCUAGUUGGUGAGGUAAUGGCUCACCAAGGCUACGAUCGGUAGCUGGUCUGAGAGGAUGACCAGCAUCACUGGGACUGAGACACGGCCCAGACUCCUACGGGAGGCAGCAGUGGGGAAUAUUGGACAAUGGGCGCAAGCCUGAUCCAGCCACGCCGCGUGGAUGAUGAAGGCCUUAGGGUUGUAAAGUCCUUUUAACGGGGAAGAUAAUGACGGUACCGUAGAAUAAGCCCCGGCUAACUUCGCGCCAGCAGCCGC